RNAcentral lists this long non-coding RNA (274 nucleotides) under Rhinopithecus bieti (black snub-nosed monkey). Its description in RNAcentral is "lncRNA (ENSRBIG00000045288.1)". The record is from RNAcentral. Lineage: Eukaryota; Metazoa; Chordata; Mammalia; Primates; Cercopithecidae.
AUGAUGAAAUGCCACAUUCGCUUCAGUAAACAGACAUUUCAAAGUCCAAAGGAAACAAACUCAAAGAUGAAAACGUACUUCCAAGAAACCCUAUUUAUGUUACUUCCUUGGGAUAAAUUCAUAUUAAGAAACCGAAUACAUAUUGCCAAAUUACCCUCUCCAGAGGCUGAUUUUAUCACACUCCUACCAUGACCAAUGAGAGCAUGUAGCUCCACAACAACAGUGAUCAGCAAUCUGCAAAUCUAUCAGGCAAGAAUUACAUUCAUUGUUGUUU